Molecule: ribosomal RNA, 423 nt
Filed under: uncultured bacterium
Lineage: Bacteria
Description: partial 16S ribosomal RNA
Rfam family: Bacterial small subunit ribosomal RNA
Source: RNAcentral
AAUAUUGGACAAUGGGGGAAACCCUGAUCCAGCCAUGCCGCGUGUGUGAAGAAGGUCUUCGGGUUGUAAAUAACUUUUGGCAGGGAAGAAAAGGCGCCGGCUAAUACCUGGCGCUGCUGACGGUACCUGCAGAAUAAGCAUCGGCUAACUACGUGCCAGCAGCCGCGGUAAUACGUAGGGUGCAAGCGUUAAUCGGAAUUACUGGGCGUAAAGCGUGCGCAGGCGGUUCGGAAAGAAAGAUGUGAAAUCCCAGGGCUUAACCUUGGAACUGCAUUUUUAACUGCCGGGCUAGAGUAUGUCAGAGGGGGGUAGAAUUCCACGUGUAGCAGUGAAAUGCGUAGAGAUGUGGAGGAAUACCGAUGGCGAAGGCAGCCCCCUGGGAUAAUACUGACGCUCAUGCACGAAAGCGUGGGGAGCAAACAG